Molecule: ribosomal RNA, 466 nt
Filed under: uncultured bacterium
Lineage: Bacteria
Description: partial 16S ribosomal RNA
Rfam family: Bacterial small subunit ribosomal RNA
Source: RNAcentral
GAUGAACGCUGGCGGCGUGCUUAACACAUGCAAGUCGAACGGAAAGGCUCCUGCUUGCAGGGGUACUCGAGUGGCGAACGGGUGAGUAACACGUGGGUGAUCUGCCCUGCACUUCGGGAUAAGCCUGGGAAACUGGGUCUAAUACCGGAUAGGACGAUGGUUUGGAUGCCAUUGUGGAAAGUUUUUUCGGUGUGGGAUGAGCUCGCGGCCUAUCAGCUUGUUGGUGGGGUAAUGGCCUACCAAGGCGUCGACGGGUAGCCGGCCUGAGAGGGUGUACGGCCACAUUGGGACUGGGAUACGGCCCAGACUCCUACGGGAGGCAGCAGUGGGGAAUAUUGCACAAUGGGCGCAAGCCUGAUGCAGCGACGCCGCGUGGGGGAUGACGGCCUUCGGGUUGUAAACUCCUUUCGCUAGGGACGAAGCGCAAGUGACGGUACCUGGAGAAGAAGCACCGGCUAACUACGUG